RNAcentral lists this ribosomal RNA (468 nucleotides) under uncultured bacterium. Its description in RNAcentral is "partial 16S ribosomal RNA". It matches the Rfam family "Bacterial small subunit ribosomal RNA", at positions 28 to 507 of the family's 1533-position model. The record is from RNAcentral.
GACGAACGCUGGCGGCGUGCUUAACACAUGCAAGUCGAACGGAAAGGCCCUGCUUUUGUGGGGUGCUCGAGUGGCGAACGGGUGAGUAACACGUGAGUAACCUGCCCUUGACUUUGGGAUAACUUCAGGAAACUGGGGCUAAUACCGGAUAGGAGCUCCUGCUGCAUGGUGGGGGUUGGAAAGUUUCGGCGGUUGGGGAUGGACUCGCGGCUUAUCAGCUUGUUGGUGGGGUAGUGGCUUACCAAGGCUUUGACGGGUAGCCGGCCUGAGAGGGUGACCGGCCACAUGGGGACUGAGAUACGGCCCAGACUCCUACGGGAGGCAGCAGUGGGGAAUAUUGCACAAUGGGCGGAAGCCUGAUGCAGCAACGCCGCGUGCGGGAUGACGGCCUUCGGGUUGUGAACCGCUUUCGCCUGUGACGAAGCGUGAGUGACGGUAAUGGGUAAAGAAGCACCGGCUAACUACGUG